AGUGAACGCUGGCGGUAGGCCUAACACAUGCAAGUCGAACGGCAGCACAGUAAGAGCUUGCUCUUACGGGUGGCGAGUGGCGGACGGGUGAGGAAUACAUCGGAAUCUACUUUUUCGUGGGGGAUAACGUAGGGAAACUUACGCUAAUACCGCAUACGACCUACGGGUGAAAGCAGGGGAUCUUCGGACCUUGCGCGAUUGAAUGAGCCGAUGUCGGAUUAGCUAGUUGGCGGGGUAAAGGCCCACCAAGGCGACGAUCCGUAGCUGGUCUGAGAGGAUGAUCAGAGCCACUGGAAAUGAGACACGGUCCAGACUCCUCCGGGAGGCGGCAGUGGGGAAUAUUGGAGAAUGGGCGCAAGACUGAUCCAGACAUAUCGCGUGGGUGAAGAAGGCCUUCGGGUUGUAAAGCCCUUUUGUUGGGAAAGAAAAGAAGAAGGUUAAUACCCCGCUGUUCUGACGGUACACAAAGAAUAAACACCGGCUAACUUCGUG
This 492-nucleotide ribosomal RNA is filed under the name uncultured bacterium. RNAcentral's name for it is "partial 16S ribosomal RNA". It matches the Rfam family "Bacterial small subunit ribosomal RNA", at positions 29 to 507 of the family's 1533-position model. The record is from RNAcentral.